CUGAAAAAAGAACCCAAAGUUAAACAAUAGCUACCAACAGCAACCUCCUUGGUAGUGUAUACAACCUGUUGUCUGUAUGGGUUGUCCUGAAGGACGUCGAAGAUAGUA
Molecule: small nucleolar RNA, 108 nt
Filed under: Meriones unguiculatus (Mongolian gerbil)
Lineage: Eukaryota; Metazoa; Chordata; Mammalia; Rodentia; Muridae
Description: Small nucleolar RNA SNORA70 (ENSMUGG00000016775.1)
Rfam family: Small nucleolar RNA SNORA70
About the family: snoRNA U70 seems to be exclusive to mammals and is a member of the H/ACA class of snoRNA which contain H (ANANNA) and ACA box motifs. H/ACA box snoRNAs are involved in the conversion of uridines to pseudouridines (5-ribosyluracil) a constituent of structural RNAs (transfer, ribosomal, small nuclear, and small nucleolar).
Source: RNAcentral